Molecule: ribosomal RNA, 365 nt
Filed under: uncultured fungus
Lineage: Eukaryota; Fungi
Description: LSU rRNA
Rfam family: Eukaryotic large subunit ribosomal RNA
Source: RNAcentral
CCAACAGGGAUUCCCCUAGUAGUGGCGAAUGAAGCGGGAAAAGCUCAAGUUUGAAAUCUGAUGGGCUCGUCCCCUCAGAGUUGUAAGCUGAAGAGGCAUAGACCGACGUUGUCUGGGCCCAAUUUCCUUGGAACAGGAAGUCAUGGAGGGUGAGAACCCCGUCCGUGGCUCUGAGCCUUCGUCCUUGUGUCGUGUCCUCGAAGAGUCGGGUUGUUUGGGAAUGCAGCUCAAAAUGGGUGGUAAAUUCCAUCUAAGGCUAAAUAUUGGCGAGAGACCGAUAGCAAACAAGUAGAGUGAUCGAAAGAUGAAAAGUACUUUGAAAAGAGAGUGAAACAGUACGUGAAAUUGUUGAAAGGGAAGCGUUU